RNAcentral lists this microRNA (21 nucleotides) under Homo sapiens (human). RNAcentral's name for it is "hsa-miR-3124-5p". The record is from miRBase by way of RNAcentral. Lineage: Eukaryota; Metazoa; Chordata; Mammalia; Primates; Hominidae.
UUCGCGGGCGAAGGCAAAGUC